GACGAACGCUGGCGGCGUGCUUAACACAUGCAAGUCGAACGGAAAGGCCCUGCUUUUGUGGGGUGCUCGAGUGGCGAACGGGGGAGUAACACGUGAGUAACCUGCCCUUGACUUUGGGAUAACUUCAGGAAACUGGGGCUAAUACCGGAUAGGAGCUCCUGCUGCAUGGUGGGGGUUGGAAAGUUUCGGCGGUUGGGGAUGGACUCGCGGCUUAUCAGCUUGUUGGUGGGGUAGUGGCUUACCAAGGCUUUGACGGGUAGCCGGCCUGAGAGGGUGGCCGGCCACAUUGGGACUGAGGUACGGCCCAGACUCCUACGGGAGGCAGCGGUGGGGAAUAUUGCACAGUGGGCGGGAGCCUGAUGCAGCAACGCCGCGUGCGGGAUGACGGCCUUCGGGUUGGAAACCGCUUUCGCCUGUGACGAAGCGUGAGUGACGGUAAUGGGUAAAGAAGCACCGGCUAACUACGUG
Molecule: ribosomal RNA, 468 nt
Filed under: uncultured bacterium
Lineage: Bacteria
Description: partial 16S ribosomal RNA
Rfam family: Bacterial small subunit ribosomal RNA
Source: RNAcentral